AUUCUGAAUAGGAUUUUUUUUUCCCCCAGAAAAGCAUUUCAAUGCCAAGAAUCAGUAUGAGUCAGAAGUUAUAAAUCGUCCUUAAAACAAGCCACUCUUUAUUCAAACCUAAUUAUAUUUUAAGUCAGUGCUCUCUUGGAGGGCCAGUAAAUUCUUGAUCAUGGAUCUUACACACACACACACACACACACACCUAAAUUCAACUGUAGCCCCUAAAUCAUCACUGUCUCUAUCCCAUUAUAGUCUCACAUGAGCUCAUUCACAUUUCCUUUUUCCCCAUUUUCUGGGUCUGAUCUCUGGCUGCAUCUGCCAUGCUUUGGCCACUUCUAGACAUAUUUACAAACCGGGUACAUUACUCUUCCGCCCUCUUGCCUCUGCUACUUGCACCUCAGCACUUUAUCCCUUAAAAUUCAGCCCUGCCUCUGCCAUGCUCACAAUGCAGUUUUUUGUUCUGUCCGUUCUGAGGAGAGUAACCUGAAACUCCACUUCACAAUGAGGUCUUGAGGGUUUCGGGAGGCAGAGAAAGCUUCUCAAAACACUCCGAGUUUGGGGCCUACAGAAGAAUAAAAACACACACCAUCGUUACACAUGGUUUUCAUCAAAAGGACUGAAAUAAUUCCAAAGAGGUCAGCAUUUUUAGAAUUAAUUAGCGCUCUGCCUCUCGGUGGAAAACCAAAGGCUGGUCUGUUUCACAGCAAACUGAGGUCGAGUUCUUUUUCCUAUUUUUCUAAGUCGAGCAGAUGGUUUGCAUUAAAAAUGAUACUUGCUAAGGGAGUUGCAGUCUUUGGGGAGACGCGUCUCUAAAGUUUCAUGAGACGCUACUCCAACCUGAGCGAGUGUGUAGAGAGUAACUGAGCACAACAAGGCAGCUUGCCUCCUCCGAACAGAUUGGGACCACUUCCCGGGAGCCUCUUUCUGGUGCACUUGAAGAUGGAGCCACGCCCUGGAGGCAGAACGGUCAUCGCAGACCUAGCUGAUUUCCUCCAACACAGAAAUUUGGAAAGGAUGCAAGAGAGAGAAUGAGUCAACAAAUCAUAGAAUCAAAAUUCCCUGAGCUCCCUUAAAUGACCACUGUUCCCAAAAAACGAUCCCAGAUCUGCACCUUGGAGAGACUGAGCAUGCAGACAAGACAAUGGCUGGACCGUCUAUAAAAACCUACAACCUACAGCAACC
RNAcentral lists this long non-coding RNA (1173 nucleotides) under Equus caballus (horse). RNAcentral's name for it is "lncRNA (ENSECAG00000049238.1)". The record is from RNAcentral. Lineage: Eukaryota; Metazoa; Chordata; Mammalia; Perissodactyla; Equidae.